Molecule: ribosomal RNA, 468 nt
Filed under: uncultured bacterium
Lineage: Bacteria
Description: partial 16S ribosomal RNA
Rfam family: Bacterial small subunit ribosomal RNA
Source: RNAcentral
GACGAACGCUGGCGGCGUGCUUAACACAUGCAAGUCGAACGGAAAGGCCCUGCUUUUGUGGGGUGCUCGAGUGGCGAACGGGUGAGUAACACGUGAGUAACCUGCCCUUGACUUUGGGAUAACUUCAGGAAACUGGGGCUAAUACCGGAUAGGAGCUCCUGCUGCAUGGUGGGGGUUGGAAAGUUUCGGCGGUUGGGGAUGGACUCGCGGCUUAUCAGCUUGUUGGUGGGGUAGUGGCUUACCAAGGCUUUGACGGGUAGCCGGCCUGAGAGGGUGACCGGCCACAAUGGGACUGAGAUACGGCCCAGACUCGUACGGGAGGCAGCAGUGGGGAAUAUGGCACAAUGGGAGGAAGCCUGAUGCAGCAACGCCGCGUGCGGGAUGACGGCCUUCGGGUUGUAAACCGCUUUCGCCUGUGACGAAGCGUGAGUGACGGUAAUGGGUAAAGAAGCACCGGCUAACUACGUG